Molecule: ribosomal RNA, 500 nt
Filed under: uncultured bacterium
Lineage: Bacteria
Description: bacterial SSU rRNA
Rfam family: Bacterial small subunit ribosomal RNA
Source: RNAcentral
CAAGUCGAGGGGCAGCACAGGUAGCAAUACCGGGUGGCGACCGGCGCACGGGUGAGUAACGCGUAUGCAACUUGCCUAUCAGAGGGGGAUAACCCGGCGAAAGUCGGACUAAUACCGCAUGAAGCAGGGGCCCCGCAUGGGGAUAUUUGCUAAAGAUUCAUCGCUGAUAGAUAGGCAUGCGUUCCAUUAGGCAGUUGGCGGGGUAACGGCCCACCAAACCGACGAUGGAUAGGGGUUCUGAGAGGAAGGUCCCCCACAUUGGUACUGAGACACGGACCAAACUCCUACGGGAGGCAGCAGUGAGGAAUAUUGGUCAAUGGGCGUAAGCCUGAACCAGCCAAGUCGCGUGAGGGAUGAAGGUUCUAUGGAUCGUAAACCUCUUUUAUAAGGGAAUAAAGUGCGGGACGUGUCCUGUUUUGUAUGUACCUUAUGAAUAAGGAUCGGCUAACUCCGUGCCAGCAGCCGCGGUAAUACGGAGGAUCCGAGCGUUAUCCGGAUUU